RNAcentral lists this ribosomal RNA (468 nucleotides) under uncultured bacterium. RNAcentral's name for it is "partial 16S ribosomal RNA". It matches the Rfam family "Bacterial small subunit ribosomal RNA", at positions 28 to 507 of the family's 1533-position model. The record is from RNAcentral.
GACGAACGCUGGCGGCGUGCUUAACACAUGCAAGUCGAACGGAAAGGCCCUGCUUUUGUGGGGUGCUCGAGUGGCGAACGGGUGAGUAACACGUGAUUAACCUGCCCUUGACUUUGGUAUAACUUCAGGAAACUGGGGCUACUACCGGAUAGGAGCUCCUGCUGCAUGGUGGGGGUUGGAUCGUUUCGGCGGUUGGGGAUGGACUCGCGGCUUAUCAGCUUGUUGGUGGGGUAGUGGCUUACCAAGGCUUUGACGGGUAGCCGGCCUGAGAGGGUGACCGGGCACAUGGGGACUGAGAUACGGCCCAGACUCCUACGGGAGGCAGCAGUGGGGAAUAUUGCACAAUGGGAGGAAGCCUGAUGCAGCAACGCCGCGUGCGGGAUGACGGCCUGCGGGGUGUAAAAAGCUUUCGCCUGUGACGAAGCGGGAGUGACGGUAAUGGGUAAAGAAGCACCGGCUAACUACGUG